Molecule: transfer RNA, 74 nt
Filed under: bacterium
Lineage: Bacteria
Description: tRNA-Ile
Rfam family: tRNA
About the family: Transfer RNA (tRNA) molecules are approximately 80 nucleotides in length. Their secondary structure includes four short double-helical elements and three loops (D, anti-codon, and T loops).
Source: RNAcentral
CCGCCCUUAGCUCAGUUGGUCAGAGCACCGAGCUUAUAUCUCGGCGGUCCCAGGUUCGAAUCCUGGAGGGCGGA